Long non-coding RNA from Falco peregrinus (peregrine falcon), 9473 nucleotides. RefSeq lists it as uncharacterized. NCBI's taxonomy places the organism in Eukaryota, Metazoa, Chordata, Aves, Falconiformes, Falconidae. The transcript has 3 exons. The record is from RefSeq and is a predicted model, not a curated record.
CACAUUUUCCUUCAUGCUUCUUUCUCUUACUGUUCUUCUUCAUCCAGAGGUGAAGAACACCCUUUUUCACCUCAGCAGAAAAAGCCUCAUUUGAAGAAGCUACCCUAGGGGUGGAAGAAGAGGAUUUGAGCUCUGCUAGGCUAUUACAGGCAACAUAUGAUGAAGAAAAGGUUUCAGGUGAAGAACCCCAGCUGGACAGCAUGCCAUCCUGCAGAGCAAGGCUCACUGAGUAUUCAUCCUUAGGAUCUCACAGGGAGGGUUCUAAUGUUCCUCAGCACUGUGAAGGGAACCUUUCACAGAUCCAAAGGCCUAGCAUCUUGAAGGAUCUCACUCAAAGACUACAGGGUUCUCUUCAUGUGUGGGAGGUCCAGAACUGAGAAAGAAGAGGAUGCCUAGUCACAUUAGGAUGCUAACAAUGGGAAGAGAAAAGUGGAGCCAAUUUCUUUAUGGUGGAGCAUGGACAAGGUACGCUGUGUUUUUUCUCAGCUAAAAUUAGACAUUACCUUAACUACUCUUUACUUUUACGGUCUGUGUUAAUUAUUUAGCAUACAGGACAAACUUCAUUUUUGCAUCCGAGUUCAAACACACAACAAGAGGGGAAGUUCCCCAUUGUUCAGCAAAUUCUCUGCUUCCUAUUGUUGUGCAGUGCUGGAUUUUAAUUUUGCAAGUUACAGUAUCUUAACCAUUUUUCACUUCACCUUUCAUUUUAUAGCUUCUGUUAUGUGUUAAGGAAAAUGUUUCUUUCACUGAAGUAGCAGCAAACCAGCAGCUCCUGAAACUGCAAGAUAAGAAUUCUCACCUGACUACUCAUAACGAAUGAGACAUGCGUUGCAGAAUUCACCCAUUUUACUCCAGGAAGAGAAAAUGUGUGCACUGGGAGAGAGAAACAGAAAUGAGACAUGCUGGCUGACCUUGGGCAAGUCACUUCACUUCUUUGUUUCUCUUUGCUGCUGUUUUCCUUGCUACCUUUAGUUUGUCUCAUCCAAUUAAAGAAACCUGAAGCAGGAGUGCUCUUUGCAUUGUCAGCAUAUCUAGCCAAUAAGGUGGUGACCUCACUUGGAUACAAAAGUAGUAAGUAAUAACCGUGACGACAGUUUACAAGUGAUGCUCUGCAUUUCUAAUACUCUGGCUAAGAAAUGUUUCAAUAACUUAUUAAAGUAUACGUGUAAAUUCUUCUUUACAAUGGAAAGCUGCUCUUAACUCUUGUCAGCUUUAAUAGAACUUAAGAGCUUAGAUUUUCACCCUGACGACUUCUCCUGUAAGGCUGUUGCAGAAGUCUACUGCUCCACUGAUCUGAGAAAAACUCUUCUAAUUACAAACCCAAAUGCACUCUUGGACAACUCUCACCCUUCACUCUUACACCAGCAAGGUCUGCUCCUCUAGUGUUCAUGCCUGUGCUGUAUUUAGAAACAAAUCACAACUCUCCUAGGCCUAUGUUUUACUAGGUGAAAGAGGUCAAACUCUCCUCUGAGUUACAUGUUAAGCCUCCAUUAGAACCUCUGCUUUGAGCUCUAAUCCAUCACCCAUGCAAUCAUUAUAACCUAAUCCUGGACUUCAGCUCCUAUUAAACUAGGUCAAAAAUCUUUCAGUUCUCUAUGGCCAGACUGGCAGGGUGACCAACUUUGCAUCUCCAUACACUUCUCCUCAAAACAGAAGAAAGGGGACUGUGUCCUUGCUCCUGAAAUCCACUGCUCAGUGCUGUCCUUACCUGCCAGCACUCAGCACCCACCCCAGGAAGGGAGUAGAGAGAAAGCUCCCCUUUCAGGAUAUGCUCUCUUCCUUCCAGCUUGUGAUUGUCUGCGUAACUGGGUCUAGGGUACAGAAGUUGUUGGGACUGAUGGCACAAAAAAAAGCACAAAGAGCCAAGAAAGAAACUUCAGCUCAGAGGAAAAUACUGUCCCAUGUUAUAUAUUUGUAGUAGGAAGGAUGACUUUCAAAUGCCCAUCAGAAGAAAAUUUAUAUUAUGAUCUUUUCUUUCUCUGUCCUUUCUAUUGACAGCAUAUCACUUUCAAACAUCCUAAUUUUGCUGGGUGAAAACAUAUGCCCUUUUUAAUACAUUUGCCACACAUAAGCCUUGUUAAUUUAGGAUUAAUGUUGCUGAAGUAAUUAAAGUGACCUUAUGCAAAACACAUGACUAUAGUUUCAUAAUGAAGUCCUACUGGUUAUCUGUGGGGCUAAGUUCAGCCUAGUGGUAUUAACAGUUGGGCUGGCUUUAGCUUUACAGCUUCAGAGGUCUCCAAAACUCACUUUAAAAUAAAGGUCUUCCAUUAAAUCUUCCAAAGACAAAUAAAUGUCAGUUGGUUGUUCCCAGCAGCUAACUGUGAGAAGCACAAACUCUUCAGUAAGGCUUAGAGAGUCAAAGAUCAGACAGAAACCAAGGAUGCAGAAAUCAUGGUAUGUUCCCUCUUAAUUUCAACAGCCACCAAAAAAAGGUAAACAGAAAUGAUUCACUGGGUAGAGGUGCACUAAAAUUGCUAUCAGAUACAUAUUGUCACAUAUAUUAACUUUGAAUUUGGUAUGAAUAUCUUUGCAUCUAAAAAAAAAGAUCAAAAUAACUCUCCACUAUACUGCAGAACAGCACUUUUAGCAUGAGAGAGAAUUGUUUAGCAAGCAACUGCUGCCAGAUCAAUAAUUUAUCAAGUACAAACUAUGGUUAUUUUCAUGUGGCUUCUCUAGUAAAAAAGAAUCUGCUGGGAAAUUUACAUUAAAAGAAACUUCACAGAAAACCAAAUGCUACUGCAUGGGCAAGGACAUAAAAUACAACAAGUUGUUUUGUUCAAUAACACUUUGGGUUGGUGGUCAUUUAAAAUGCUUUUCAUACACAAAGCCAAAGAUCAAAGUAUUAAUGGAAACAAUUGCACAGCACAACUUGAGAGCACCACAGCAAUCAUUUGCUAAGGCUAGAAAGUUUACUUUAAAAUCGUGAUUACACCAAUAAAGCCCUACCAAUUUUCAUACUGCAAAAUAUUUUGACCUCCCAGGCUACUACCUAGGAUUACUGUACCUUCUCCUAGGAACAGGAUCACUGUUUCAAAGAAUUCCCUCUUGAAGAUACAAACAUCAGCUUUGUCCACUUUUGCAGCUGACACAAAGAAGCCCAUUCAAUAAAAUAGUGCCUUUAUUUGCAUAUGGUUUCCAAGGACUUUGUUCAAAACCAGCUCACAGCAUAAUAAGUGUCAUCUGCUUUUCUCCUGGUCAUUAAACCUGUACUCAUUCACUGCAUACAGCACCACCUUUGUUCACCUUCUUGGUAUCAACAAAGCCAAAGAGGGAUGGACUGACCUCAAAAGGAGGCUACAUUAUUAUAAAUUUCAAAGCAGGGGUAUUUCAAAGACUGUUGCCUAGGGUCACUUCUGAUACAAAUUCCAGACAUUCAUGUUGAAUUUUGUAAGACGCUGCUAUUCAGUCAAAGCCAAGUUCAAAAGAAGCAUCCCGUUAUGUGAUAUGUAUGCUAUUUCCUGAUACAGAAGUCAUUAUGAAAAGAAGUGUACCCAGCAAUGCACUACAGAACAAGAACCAGCAUUGUACAGUUUUGCAAUUAAAAGGAAAAGGGGUUUCAUCUUUUCCAGCAGUUGCCUGCAUAGAUCGAGGGGAACAGGUAUCUGAGUUAUGGGAUACUGAGUACCUUGCACCUGACUGGGUGACUGGCUGCAGAAAUGGAGAUGAAACCAGAACAAAUCCUAGCUGCACAGACUUCACUCCUAGAAGAAUGGUAUUUGUGAAAAGCACAUUUCUGCAUAUACACAUUACAGCAUCUAUCAAAAUAAUGCUGUUGAAGUAGAGAUGUCCUCUCCAUACCUGUACACAGACAACCUCCGCACAGUCCAGAGCCCCUCUUUCCAUCCCAGGUCCAGAGCAAGAUAAAAAAACCUUGCUCCAGUGAGCUGUUUCUGAUUUCUACUUGGAAUUAUCUGGUCAGGUUUUACAGCCAUCCAUUGCACUGCACUACAAUCAAUGAGUAGAUCCUUGAACUGUAACAAUCAUUCCUAGUCUCCUUCAAAUUCUUUAUUAAUAUAGACAUAAUUAAACUGCUAAAACAUAAAGACACAGCUUCUUUCUCACUUACAAAUUCCCCUGAAGUAUCUUGCAAAAAUUGAUGCCCUGAGAGAACACUACACUUGCUUUUCUUUUUUGUUUUUCCCCUCUACCAUCUAACUUUAACACACAAGACAUGUAACAAUGCCUGGGGCAUCAUCCCUGACUCUGGGAGUCUCCAGGCAAUCUGCAGCCUCUGUGGUUCUGUUACAGGUGAGAGAUGAGCAAUAAUAAAGGAACAUUACAGUGUAGAACCUUUGGGGAUUUUGCAAAGAGAUCAAGUAAAUAACUUUCAUAAGCUUUAGAAGGAAAAAAAAUCCCUCCCUACUACGCUUCAUCUCAUCAGGUUUCAGGCUUGAAUAAAACGUUCACAGUGAAACCAAAGUCUCCCCAAAGCUCAUCUGGGUUUGCAGUUUUGCUACUAAGUCAUAACUCAGCUAAGACUGAUUGAAAGCCCAAAUGUAUUUGAAAACACUUGGACCCACUUUCAAAGGACCCUGAGCUGAUGGAGGAGUUUGUGCCUAAAUUUUGGUGAAAUUUAGUUAUGUAUGGUUUGGUACUGUUCAAAGAUGAUAGUGAAAUUACUUCAUAUACAAUUUCACAUCAUUGUAGUGAAUAUAUUUAUACAGCUGUAAGGCCUUAAAGGUGGAUAUUGGUGGUAACUUGAGGGUGAAUUGCUUGCAAUGAGUAUAUCUUCAUAUUUUUCCUGUUAAGUGCAUUACUUUUUUUGUCUUUAUUGCAGUGUCACAUAAGAUCCUAUUAUUUUAGGUAUUGCAAAAGCACCAGUGUGAGUCCUUGACUCAUAAUUUUUAUUUUAAGUUGUGGAAGAACAGAAUGUCUUUUAAAAUAAGUGAUGCUGAAUAAGUGGCCAUUUCAACAAUUCUCCAUUAGGUCAGAAACUGCUAUUGCUAUUGUAAACCUGCUCAACAUGGAUCAGUGUCUAAUAAAUGAGAGUGUUCAGGGGUUUUUAACUUGCAUUGGAAAGCUUACAGCAUAAGCAGAUAUCUUAGUAUGUUUUGCUUUGUUAAACAUUGUUCUGAUUGCCUAAUGCAAAAAGCAUUUUUUAAAAGGUACGUAAAUAGAACCCCAUUUGCAAAAGAAAUUAUGAAGGUUUGGGGUUUUUUUCCUCUUUUGCUUAUCUGCCUUAUGAUUUCUAAGAGGUUUGACACCAAACUUCAACAUACAACACUGCCUAGAGAAUACUGGCUCAUCUUUCGUGAGAUGAACGUGCUGACAACAUUAACUUCCCUUGACAGAAAUAGGUGUGCAACAAACCCCUAGAAAUUAUACUGCAAAUAUAUCCCUAAGAAUCCUUCAGAUUUCCUAAAGUAGAGUGGAAACUAGAGAUAUGCUUAAAAUCCCAAAAGUAAUGUGUAUUGUCAGCAAACAGGCUAAACUGCUGCUUCACGGGCAAUGCAGGUAAAGCGCCCCUAAAAUGACUGUACCAGCAGCAAAAAAGUAACAGUUACAAAUUAUGUCACAUCACAUCAAAACAGGUCAGAUGAUGCAUUUUGUGGGGUUGUUUCACAUAUGACCCUACAAAAUCACAUGUCAAAUGAUGGAUAAGAUGAUUUCUCAGGAAGCAGUAUGCUCCAGGUAAAGCCAGGAUUAAAGUGAAGGGUCAUCUUCAACAAAGAAAUAUGUGACAGGAUGAGAUACCUUUUUCAUUCCUCAGUCAAGCAUGCCACUACGUAGAUAAAUGGUAAAAAGAUACAAAAUAACAGGAGUAAUCAGAAAAGUCGUCAAAACAGAAAAUACCUGUCCUUUUUCCUCAGUUUGGCUUGGAGUGAAAACAAGCUCAAACCAAAGAAAAUUUUGCCUAAAUAUUACUAAAGCAUUGUAGACGGCAGUUGUAGAUCUAGAACAGCCUAUGGUUAUAUCCUUUACACCAAAGACAAACUGCAAUAGGGGUAGGGCAACGUUUGUAGGAAGUUGGUCCAUUUUCAUUAGUCAAAUACAGUUUGCAAAGAGCAUCCAAGUUUCAGGAUACAAGCCUUCUUCAGUCAUUCAGACCUUCAUCCAACUUUCACUCCCUUUUAGACCCUAGAGCAUCAUGCACUCUAAAAGUGUACUUCAGACUGGGUCAGUAAAGUUUAGAGGCAUAAAAAAACCCUUAAAUUCAAAACACUGAACAAGAAAUGGUGGCCUUUUCUUCAGGCUAUGACCUAACAACAAACACCUGGGCUGUUUUAACUACUGAAGACAUGCAAAUUAAAUUCAUCGUUGUUCUAAAAACUAACAUCUCUCCAUUUUAGUAUACAAGAAUAAUACCCUCUUCUAGUUCUGUGAACCAACAGCUAACCAUCUCCCUGCAACUGGAAACAACAAACUCUUAGUUGGAUAAAACCGUGUUUUCAUACAAGGGAAUGCAAGCAUAAAUCUAACAUCUGAGAAAAACUAAUUCAACCAAUUCAAAUAAAACACUGUAGGAACAAGAGAUGAAGUUUAAAUAAGUGCUCCUCACUCAGUCAUCACAACAUACUCUGUCAUCAUUAAUUCUAACAUGAUGAUGUUGCCAAGGUGAAGCAUCAUCUUACCAACAAUUACCUCUGCUAUAGGGUCAAAUUUCUUAGUUUCUCAUCUCUUAGGUACUACAUUUUAAGACUAGAUUUUUAACAUGGAUAAUAGACCUGCACAGGAGCAGACAGCCUGAAAUUCCUGCUUCACAUCCUUUCCACAGGUCAUCAGCCAAGGAGAGGCUGACAGAGGCAGGGGAAAGGCAGACCCUGGAUUAUAUAUACCCUUUCACUAGACAUGAAGGGGCACAGACACAUUUGGGGCUGUGACAGGACAUUCAUCAUCCUGCUCCUGGAGAGAAAGAAGAGCCAAUAAUUGCUAUUAAAAGAGGUACCUUGGAACACAAGCGGCUACCACUCAGGCUGCAGGUGACAUUUGUCUGCUUAUUCAAGGUAUGAUCUAACCCACAGUAUUCACUCCAGUCCUAUUUACCUUCCAUAAUGACAUCAGGGAAUCUUGCUCAUGUCUGCAGAAAACUCUAUGCCAUACCACCAACACCUUACAACACUAAUGUUGGCAACAGUAUCAGCUGCAGGAUGCUUGUAAAUGCAAAGCUGGUUAUCAGCUCAAGAGUAAGCGAAACCAAAUUAAUCAUAUAUAAUACACACACACACAGAGUGAUUAAAAUGAUAUGUGUAUUGGACAGAUGUGUUUGUUUCUCCAAAGAAAACAGUAUCCCAGGACAGUUAUUAAAAACACAGAAAAGCCAAUUGUCUUUUUAUUACUUUCUAUACUAAGGCCUUCUCCAUUGUUCUACUAGGUCCAGGACCGUUUCAUCUGAAUGAACAUGGAAACUAAAAAUAUUUACCUGCUCCUCAAUGCCAAUGUGAAUUUAAUCAUAAAACUAAUUGCUUUCAUUUUUCUGUUAUAAACUCUUGAAUUUGCUAUAGAGGUUACCACAGUGAAAAUUUUCUGCCAGCAAUGAAGUCCAAAAGGAAAUGGUCUGUGUUGUUUCUUGGAAGAAAAUUGCCUUUAGAAAAAUCCUAUUUCUUUGCUAAAGUAUCAAGGAGAUAUGUGGUUGAAGAAAGAGAUGUAUAGCUUUUGAGAUUAAUCAUUAUGAUGAAUGAGAGAAAAGCUGAAGGCUGCAAAAAAUCUCCAUAAGUAUAUCUCCACUUACUCUCCAAUAAUUACACCAGUAGCUGCCAUCUUCACUGUUUCUAUGUAGAUUCUCUCCCUGCCAACCUUGGCCCCUAAAGAAGUGAUGUAUAACAUCCAGCUCUACUCAAAAGUCUUAAAUUGCUGGCAGCUGCAAGAAACACAAAUUACAAUCAAAAUACCAUAUUAAACUAUUUCCAAACACCUUAGCCACCCAUAGAAUGUUCACUGUUUACCAAAUAAGCAAGAACUGAUAAAAACAAAUCUUUGAAGUGAAAUACUGAUCUUUUUUAACCUUAGAGUCAGCAAUUGAUACAGCCUGUGCUAGUUUUGGCUGGGUUUUCUUCAUAGUAGCUAGUAUGGGGCUGUGUUUUGGAUUUGUGCUGAAAACAGUGCUGAUCAUACAGGGACAUUUUCAUUAUUACUGAGCAGUCCUUAGAGUCAAGGCCUUUUCUGCUACUCAUAUCACCCCACCAGUGAGUAGGUUGGGGGUGCACAUGAAGCUGGGAGGGGACACAGCCAGGACAGCUGACCCCAACUGACCAAAGAGAUAUUCCAUACCAUCCAACAUUGAUGGUAUGUUGAUGGGAAAUAGUGAAUUAAUUUCUUGUGUUACUUUGCUUGUGUGGGUGGCUUUUGCUUUACCUAUUAAACUGUCCUUAUCUCAACCCAAAAGUUUUCUCUUUUUUCUAAUUCUCUCUCCCAUCCCACCAGGGGUGAGUGAGCAAGCAGCUGUGUGGCACUUAGUUGCCACCUGGGGUUAAACCACGACACAGCCUUAGAAAGAUACACUCCUGCCACGGUAUCUCAUUAUUUCUUUUGAUGUGUUAUCAUAUCUUUAUGGAGUGGUGCUGGUUCCAGUCAGGAAAUGCAGAUUUGGAACACAGUAUUGCAUCUGCUUAAAUAGAAGCUGAGCAUACACAGCACAUAUAAAUAAUUCUAGUGCUAGGAUUUCGGGAAAGGAUUUGCGAUGACGUUUGAAGAAAGGCACCAAAGUCUAUAAAUGCUGCAUUCAAACAUAUAAUUUUCACAGCUUUAUAAUUUCCUUGAAGUAUUUUUUUCCUAAACAUUUUGUUACAUACCAUGUGGAAGAUGGUGAUCAUUAAACUGUGUGUUAAGGAAACUCACACAGCUUGUAAAGCCCAUUGAUACACAUCUCUGAAAGAGUUAGGAGCCCCAGAUCUCACAUCAAAAGUUUCACUGGACUUGAAUAACAAGAGCAUGUUUCACAGUACAUUAGCAUAACACUGAUUUAGGAGGGACAAUCACACCACUUAGACUGACAUUUUGUAAAACAAACAACACUGGAUUCCACCCAGAGAAGCCACUGUUAACCCCCCUGAUCCAUGUUUACUUUCUAGGAGGAUUCCCACCACCUUCUACAGCAGCCUGCUCUAAUGGUUAAUCACUUUGGCUGUUAAAUAAAAUGUGCAUCUUGUUUGUAAUAAAUCUGGACUUAACAUCAGUUCAAAGAAAGGGAAACGGGAGACAGUGCCAACAUACUUGUGAGGAAAGCAAACAAGCAAGAGGCAAUCUGGCUGCCUUGGCAGAAUCUGUUUCUUUUAUUAAAAACAGAGAAUUAGAGGUAAUUCAGCUGCAGCAUUAUCCAAUUGCAACGACAAGUUGAGGACGGGUUACUAACAUCCAUUGUAUCAGAUCUAAGUGGUCAUACUGUUCGAAGAGAAAUUAAAAUGUGAAUUGAGUAGGGUCUAGGAAGUCAAGUGCAGGAAUAAGUAGAACUGAUAGUUAAUUUAAUGCAAGCUCCAACCUAAUGAAAAGACAGAUAAUUGGAGGUAAUGAAGAGCCUACCAGUGGUAAGAACAGAA